This 74-nucleotide transfer RNA is filed under the name Corynebacterium pseudotuberculosis. Its description in RNAcentral is "tRNA-Leu". The record is from RNAcentral. Lineage: Bacteria; Bacillati; Actinomycetota; Actinomycetes; Mycobacteriales; Corynebacteriaceae.
GGGCACAGCAGGAGCAUCCCAGCCGCGACCUAAUUUGCUGGGAUGCUCUUUUUUUAUGGGUGGGGUACAACGCG